GCAAGAGUACAGGCAAAGUAAGACACUAGGGAUCAGCCACCUGGCCAUUAAGCCACGCAGCCAGCCCCACAGUAAGAGUGAAAGUAAGAUUUACAGAAGUAAGAGAAACGUCAAAGUCCAGAGCAAAAGUUAGAGAGAUAAGUUAAGAAAAGCUGGCUAGCAACAAGCCAAGCAAAGGUCAGACAUUCAUAAGCAAGAGUAAGCCUCCGUGUCAUGAUUUAGGAGCUGAGUGGCAGGCCCACCAAAGAGUAAAGAACAAACAACACACGUGCUCACUCAGGAGGAUGGCACUGAAGACCAGAGGUAAAUACUGAGUAGUCAUUGAGCAAAUGUUUGCUGACAGACUUACAAGAUGACUUUUUGUUGAAAACUCUGCUACAUGACCUAUGACUUAGAUUUGGUACUUUCUUUCCCUGGAAAACACAUCUGACAACAAAGCUGAGUUGUGAAGGUCAUCAUCAUAAAACAGCCUGGAGGAAAUCUGCAGUCUACAGUCAUUAGGAAGCCCUCCCUGGAAACCCUUCACUAAGAGAGGAGAUGGGAAAAUGAAAGAACCAUCAAGUAGCUCCAUUGUCUCUGUGGAUGUGAGUGCAGGCUACAAUGAUUCAUCUAUGUUAUAGCUCCUUUUACAAGAUAGGAACUUCAAAGCUCUUACCAAAUUUCUGCCAUUCACCUAGAUUUAUAACUAACUUUAGUUCUGUGGAAAGACAACACAAUUGCUAGAAAAAUAGCUUUAAAAUAACCUAUGGGCAAGUCGGGUCUUUGUGAGAUCCGGAAAACAAAUACAGUAGAUUUACAAGUUCGUUAUAAAGACAACAAUGUGAGAACAUGCCAUGCUAAAAGAAGGCUUCUUCAGGUAUUUUGUAUAUGUCUUUUAUUUUUAAUUAAAGGUCAUUGCUUGCUAAUGAUGCGGAGGAGAGGUGUUAGAAUACUGAGCUCUCAAAGAUAGUGAUCAAAGUCUUUUCACUCCGCUUUGUUUUAAUAUUAUUAUUAAGCUGCUAAUUUGGUGGAGGUGAUCAUUAGCGUUUUAAUGCGAAGCAAAAGCUUCGGGACAAGAACUUCUGGUUGAAGAUCAAGAUGAGAGAAACUGGUUCAGUUAUGGCCUUAAUAAUUGUAACCGUGGGGAGCCUGGCAGAGCCCGUUUUAUGAAUUAAUAUAAUAUACAAUCCACCAGGUACAAAUGGAGAGGACAAACAAAGGAGAAUUGCAAGCAGCGGCUAUACUGGGACUGUGUGGCUGUGAGGGAGUUGCUUGACAAAUGUAGGUUGAUUCAAAGUGGGCACCAGUACAGUACCGCAGAUUCCUUUUCCAACAGGAGACUGCAGAGCUGAGGGCCAAAUGGGUAGGGAAUUCAACCCAGAAGAAUAAAACUGGGAAAGACCUUUUGGAAUGCAACUAAUUUUACAUACUCCAUUAUCCUAUAAUGUUCCUUGUGGGAUUUUCUUUUCUUUAAGUGGAUUAAAUCAAACACAGAGUUGUUGUUUUUGUGUGUUCUGCUCCUGAGAUAUAACAACUCUUAGACAGAAGUUAUAAACAAUUUGGUCUAGGGUCUGCUACCUAUCUACCGAGGAAAUAAUAUGCCACUAACCUUUUCUGAUUAGCAACAUGUAUCAUUUUAUCCUGGAGCAAACUAUAAGUGGGAAAAUUCAGGUUUGAAAAUGUCCAUUCAAUUCACUGCAGACAAAACAAGUGUGUGCGUGUGUGUGUGUGUGUGUGUGUGUGUGUGUGUGUGCCUUAUCUCUACAAUCUGUGGACGGCUUGUUUUUACCUCUGCCCUGAUGCUUGCACUUUGAUUCUAUCUUUGAACAUUUAUUUUGCAUGUUGCCACCAAGUGUCAUUUUCUGGUCAGUUUGGACAUUUUCCCUUCCUCUCAUAUGGCAAUGACUAAGUGAGUCUCUUAAACAAGAAUUGAUAAUUUCUAUGGAAACGUUAAAAGUUUUGAGUUUUCCUGUAACAAGGGAGAAAAAAACAAAAUUUAAAACAUUAGAUAUUUCUAAUAGUAUUACUACAUACACACAUGUAUAUCAAAGCACACAGAUUCAUAUAGAUAAAUACUAUUAUAUAUCCAUGAAUAGUCACUCUUCUGUAACUGUAUGUCUUAAUGGGAUUUUGGCGGUUUCUGCAGCACCAAUCACCAAAUGUUUGUGACUGGCAUCAAAAUGCAUCUCCAAUGCAUAUGGACACAAGUACAGGAAGCUCCUAUCUCACAUACUUGUUUGUCAAUUUCUAACUUUCACUUUGAUGCAUUCCUGGAAACUCAUAAGUUCUUGUCAUCUUAACUGAGGAUUCCCGGUGAUGCUCUGUUCUCCCCAGUUCAGGGAUAGGCACAAUCAUCCAUCCAUUUUCUCCCCAAUCAUAAUAUUUAAAAGCCCUCCCCCUCUCUUUCUGAUAGCCAAUCCUUUUCUAUUUUUUCUUUGUCAUUGAACAUUGACAUUGACUAUAUUCUUUAAUUUGACUCCAUCUGUCUCUACUCCACCAACCUAGGACAAGCUACCAUGAUUUACUAUGUAGAGACUCUGAUAGAGUGCCACAUAGGCCCCUGUGUUUCUACCUUUUUUUCUAACUCUUCUCUCCUUCAGCAGAGGGACUUAAUCAGCUUAGAAUCCUUCAGUGACCUCUAAUUGUGCAUCAAUGAUAAAGCUGAAACUAACAGUAGACUCCAAAGGUCUUGACAAUCUAAGGAAUGCCACCACUUCAAUAUUUACUCAUGGAUGUUUAUCUUAGUACUUACAUCUACCCAACAUUAUUUUAUUUACAUUAGGUAAUUACCCUGUAUAAGUUCCCCAAUUUUCACAGAAACUAAAUGUGAAUGUGUGAUACAUUUCUGAACCAUAAGGCUGGUAGAGAUCACUAAACAGGUUUUGUUUUUAUUUCUUGUCCCUUUCUUCUCUUCAUCCUUGUUUAUUUAAGUAGGUUCAACUUGCACAUGGACCUUUUCCUUUUGCAUGUCGUUCCUGGCAUGUAGCAAAAAACUAAAGCCUGAAAGUAAAACAGCCACCUGCUGGCCACAAAAACAGAAGCAAUAGGAAAUGAGCUACAUUUGAAAAAUAGUGAGCAGAAAGAGGGCAAAGACUCAUGUCUUUGACAAGUUUUAUCCUGGGACUAAAAUUAAUUAGGAGACAGAAAGAGAAACAGAAAGAGAGAGAGAGAGAGAGAGAGAGAGAGAGAGAGAGAGAGCAAACAAUUCAUGUACACACAAAAUGUUAGUUUUUAAUCCUCUAUGUCCACUCUUCCAGUACAUAGAACUAAAUACAAACUUCAGUGCUUAUAAAAGGGCAUAAUACUAUU
Long non-coding RNA from Myodes glareolus (Bank vole), 3288 nucleotides. RefSeq lists it as uncharacterized. The record is from RefSeq and is a predicted model, not a curated record. NCBI's taxonomy places the organism in Eukaryota, Metazoa, Chordata, Mammalia, Rodentia, Cricetidae.